Non-coding RNA from Ixodes scapularis (black-legged tick), 73 nucleotides. The record is from Rfam. NCBI's taxonomy places the organism in Eukaryota, Metazoa, Arthropoda, Arachnida, Ixodida, Ixodidae.
CCCUGGUUAGCUCAGUUGAUAGAGCGCUCCAUUCGUAAUGGAGAGGUCCCGGGUUCGAUACCCGGACCAGGCG